UACGUAGGGUGCAAGCGUUAAUCGGAAUACUGGCGUAAAGCGUGCGCAGGCGGUGAUGUAAGACAGGUGUGAAAUCCCCGGGCUUAACCUGGGAACUGCAUUUGUGACUGCAUCGCUGGAGUGCGGCAGAGGGGGAUGGAAUUCCGCGUGUAGCAGUGAAAUGCGUAGAUAUGCGGAGGAACACCGAUGGCGAAAGGCAAUCCC
RNAcentral lists this ribosomal RNA (204 nucleotides) under uncultured bacterium. Its description in RNAcentral is "partial 16S ribosomal RNA". It matches the Rfam family "Bacterial small subunit ribosomal RNA", at positions 524 to 728 of the family's 1533-position model. The record is from RNAcentral.